UAGAGUUUGAUCCUGGCUCAGGACGAACGCUGGCGGCGUGCUUAACACAUGCAAGUCGAGCGGUAAGGCCCUUCGGGGUACACGAGCGGCGAACGGGUGAGUAACACGUGGGUGAUCUGCCCUGCACUUCGGGAUAAGCCUGGGAAACUGGGUCUAAUACCGGAUAUGACCUUCGGCUGCAUGGCCGUUGGUGGAAAGGUUUACUGGUGCAGGAUGGGCCCGCGGCCUAUCAGCUUGUUGGUGGGGUAAUGGCCUACCAAGGCGACGACGGGUAGCCGACCUGAGAGGGUGACCGGCCACACUGGGACUGAGACACGGCCCAGACUCCUACGGGAGGCAGCAGUGGGGAAUAUUGCACAAUGGGCGAAAGCCUGAUGCAGCGACGCCGCGUGAGGGAUGACGGCCUUCGGGUUGUAAACCUCUUUCAGCAGGGACGAAGCGAAAGUGACGGUACCUGCAGAAGAAGCACCGGCCAACUACGUGCCAGCAGCCGCGGUAAUACGUAGGGUGCAAGCGUUGUCCGGAAUUACUGGGCGUAAAGAGCUCGUAGGCGGUUUGUCGCGUCGUCUGUGAAAACUCGAGGCUCAACCUCGAGCUUGCAGGCGAUACGGGCAGACUUGAGUACUGCAGGGGAGACUGGAAUUCCUGGUGUAGCGGUGAAAUGCGCAGAUAUCAGGAGGAACACCGGUGGCGAAGGCGGGUCUCUGGGCAGUAACUGACGCUGAGGAGCGAAAGCGUGGGUAGCGAACAGGAUUAGAUACCCUGGUAGUCCACGCCGUAACGGUGGGCGCUAGGUGUGGGUUUCCUUCCACGGGAUCCGUGCCGUAGCUAACGCAUUAAGCGCCCCGCCUGGGGAGUACGGCCGCAAGGCUAAAACUCAAAGGGAUUUGACGGGGGCCCGCACAAGCGGCGGAGCAUGUGGAUUAAUUCGAUG
Molecule: ribosomal RNA, 934 nt
Filed under: uncultured bacterium
Lineage: Bacteria
Description: bacterial SSU rRNA
Rfam family: Bacterial small subunit ribosomal RNA
Source: RNAcentral